GCCUAACACAUGCAAGUCGAACGGUAACAGGAAGAAGCUUGCUUCUUUGCUGACGAGUGGCGGACGGGUGAGUAAUGUCUGGGAAACUGCCUGAUGGAGGGGGAUAACUACUGGAAACGGUAGCUAAUACCGCAUAACGUCGCAAGACCAAAGAGGGGGACCUUCGGGCCUCUUGCCAUCGGAUGUGCCCAGAUGGGAUUAGCUAGUAGGUGGGGUAACGGCUCACCUAGGCGACGAUCCCUAGCUGGUGUGAGAGGAUGACCAGCCACACUGGAACUGAGACACGGUCCAGACUCCUACGGGAGGCAGCAGUGGGGAAUAUUGCACAAUGGGCGCAAGCCUGAUGCAGCCAUGCCGCGUGUAUGAAGAAGGCCUUCGGGUUGUAAAGUACUUUCAGCGGGGAGGAAGGGAGUAAAGUUAAUACCUUGCUCAUUGACGUACCCGCAGA
Molecule: ribosomal RNA, 448 nt
Filed under: uncultured bacterium
Lineage: Bacteria
Description: bacterial SSU rRNA
Rfam family: Bacterial small subunit ribosomal RNA
Source: RNAcentral